UCUUUCUUUCUUUUCCUUUUCCCUCUCUCUUAAUAUUUCCUGUCCUCUUAAUAUUAAUAUCUCUCUCUCAACCAGCCCUCUCUCUGCGACUCACUCUCUCACCGAUCCGCCCUCCAAACAACGCCGACGCCGAUGCCAACGCCAACGCCUUUCUGAUGAAACGAUUCUCCCACUUCACCUCUCGCCUCUCGCCUCUCGCUUUUCCUCGACCACGUCCCCGUAUAUCUUCCUCAAUCUCUUGAAGACGCUGCGUCUUCAAUUUUUUUACAUUUUGGGUUUCAGCAUCUUCAAUUUUUUUUAAGGGCUGAUUAUCUUGGGGUUUGAUUGGUAGUGUAUAGUCGCUCACAAUUUUUUUUCCUCUCUCUCUCACUCUCAUGGAUUCCGGUGCCUCUUAUUCCCCAUUCUCUUUGAGUAUUAUAUAGUUUUAUAUAUAGAAUAAUUAGAAUGUACGAUUUUACAUGUAAGAAUUGCUGUAUUUUGUUCAUUUGGUCUAUUGAAAUCAUAUAUAAUCAUUUUCAAACUCUAGAGUGAAUCAAUAAUGAUUUAUUAUGUGAAAUUAUGAAAUUGAAUAUGCUUUUGAAGAGCAGAAGUUCCAAAACAGACCAGUAAGUACUGUAUCUAUGGUGUGUUAUUUUGACAUUUUGGGUUAUCUUUGCUGAAGCACUUCUUUUUGAGAAUAAUUUAGGUGAUGGCUAAAGUUAAUUUAUUUAUCUUGUUUAAAUUAUAAUUUAAUGGCUAGCUAGAGAAAAAUAAUUAUAUAAUGUAGAGAAUAUAUUUUGUGUAUAUUUUGUACCUAGUUGUUAUUUAAUUCUUGACUAUUCUCAAUUACAAACGACUCCUUAGAAUUCUUAUGUGGAUAUCUUGAUUGUGUACAUGCAGUCAGUAAGUGAUCUUCACAAGAAACGUAGCAUAGUCUGUUAUGUUUGCUCAAUAAAUAUUUCUAUGGAAUUUAAAGUUUGUUGAUGCAAGUUACUAAUUCUGUUUUCAGAUACGAACGUAUAUGGAAUCCUCACAGUCCGAAACAAAUACAAUCAAUCGGAAAUAUAUCAGACAAGGGAUUGGUAACCCAGUUGGCGCUAACCACCUUCAGCAAUGAAAAAAUGUCCUUGAUGGUCUUGUAUCAGAGUAUGAGAAAUCAAGUCAUGGUCCAGGAAAAUGGCCGAAGCUAGCUAUGUUCUUACAAAAAAAGGAAGCUAAAGCUGCUCUAGAAAAGGCCAUUGUUAUUCAAGAGCGCACAAGCAAAGAAACACAGAAGAGAGAAGAUGCUCUUAAAGAAGAGUUUGCUAUUACUUUGGCUGAGAAGACGAAGAACUGAAGGAUAAGGCAGUGAAUAUUGAAUAUGCUGAGCAGUGCUUGACUACACUAAUAUUAGAAUUGAAGGCUGCUAAAUCAAUGGUGGCAACUGGCUAUGCCCAUUAGCUAGUGGAAUGUUUAUUUAUUCUCCAUUUCACUCCCUUCUGGUUUUGUUGUUUCAGGAACUAAAGAGAAAGAGCACAUUAGCUGCUGCACUCAAGUCACUUCAACAUAAACUUGAGAAAUACAAGAUAGAGUUGAACAACUUGUAUAAGAAUUCUUGAGUAUAUUUAUAACUUGUUCAUGUUGCAUAGAAUUGAUUACUUAUAAAUUGAGAUUAUAUUUGUAUCUGAUGAAAUAUAUUUUGAUUAAAUUUGCUA
This is a long non-coding RNA of Humulus lupulus (European hop), 1673 nucleotides long. RefSeq lists it as uncharacterized. NCBI's taxonomy places the organism in Eukaryota, Viridiplantae, Streptophyta, Magnoliopsida, Rosales, Cannabaceae. The transcript has 6 exons. The record is from RefSeq and is a predicted model, not a curated record.